This 648-nucleotide long non-coding RNA is filed under the name Marmota monax (woodchuck). Lineage: Eukaryota; Metazoa; Chordata; Mammalia; Rodentia; Sciuridae. The record is from RNAcentral.
AGGGCCUUAGUGCAUGUGAGGCGAGCAUUCUACCAACUGAGCUAUGUCUCCAGCCCCUCUCAUUGUCUUUUAAAAUACCUUUCAAUUUUUGUAUCACAGUGUAAAAAGUAACAUAAAUUUUGGUUACAAAACAUCAAAUGAUAUAAAUAAAUCCCCAAUAAAAUCUGUUAUAUUUAUAAGUUUAAAAUUAUCAUUACAGACAACUUUAAUUUGGAGAACACCAGCUUGUUAAAAUGCUCCUUUAAACCUUUUACCUUGUAUACCUGAAAGAUAUGAACACAAUUAAUAUGUAAAGAAGAGUAAUGUACCACAAUUACAUUGAUGUUUUUAUAGUAACCAAGUUUAGCUUUUAAAGAAAAAUCUAGACUCUGUAAUGUAGAACAAUAUUCUAAAAUGACAGUUGCUGUUUAACUACAGAUGUACAAACCUUAAUUUCUCCAAGAUUAGUUGCUCUAGAGAAUAAAACCUCAGAUACAAUGUAAUUAAUAUAUUAAGAAGUUUUUUUUUUUUUUUUUUUGAGAGAGAGAGAGUGAAUUUUUCAAUAUUUAUUUUUUAGUUCUUGGCGGACACACAUCUUUUUUUUUUUAUGUGGUGCUGAGGAUCGAACCCAGCGCCCCGUGCUUGCCAGGCGAACGCGCUACCACUUGA